RNAcentral lists this ribosomal RNA (339 nucleotides) under uncultured Allapsidae. RNAcentral describes it as "SSU rRNA". The stretch from base 118 to 339 matches the Rfam family "Eukaryotic small subunit ribosomal RNA", at positions 734 to 955 of the family's 1831-position model. The record is from RNAcentral. Lineage: Eukaryota; Cercozoa; Glissomonadida; Viridiraptoridae.
GAUUUCUGGCUUGAUGCGGCUGACCCGCCACGGUUACGUGUGUGAGUGUUGGUUCGUGUCUGCCAUCCUUCUAGAGAACGGUUCGUUCCUUUCUUCUUCAUUGAAGAGAGGGCGAAAUCACGCAAUCUAGAUCUUUUACUUUGAAAAAAUUAGAGUGUUUAAAGCAGGCGUUUUGCUAUGAAUACAUUAGCAUGGAAUAAUAAUAUAGGACUAUUGGUUCUAUUUUGUUGGUUUCUAGGACUGAAGUAAUGAUUGAUAGGGAUAGUUGGGGGUGCUAGUAUUCAGUGGCCAGAGGUGAAAUUCUCGGAUUCACUGAAGACUAACUUAUGCGAAAGCAUU